Molecule: transfer RNA, 71 nt
Filed under: Thermoleophilia bacterium
Lineage: Bacteria; Bacillati; Actinomycetota; Thermoleophilia
Description: tRNA-Cys
Rfam family: tRNA
About the family: Transfer RNA (tRNA) molecules are approximately 80 nucleotides in length.
Source: RNAcentral
GGCGCCUUGGCCGAGUGGUUAGGCACGGGUCUGCAAAACCCGGUACGCCGGUUCGACUCCGGCAGGCGCCU